Molecule: ribosomal RNA, 253 nt
Filed under: uncultured bacterium
Lineage: Bacteria
Description: partial 16S ribosomal RNA
Rfam family: Bacterial small subunit ribosomal RNA
Source: RNAcentral
UACGGAGGGUGCGAGCGUUAUCCGGAAUCACUGGGUUUAAAGGGUGCGUAGGCGGCUCGGUAAGUCAGUUGUGAAAGCCCCUUGCUUAACGAGGGAGGUGCGAUUGAUACUGUCGAGCUUGAAUCGGGAUGAGGCAGGCGGAAUGUGGCAUGUAGCGGUGAAAUGCAUAGAGAUGCCAGAGAACACCGAUUGCGAAGGCAGCCUGCUGGGCCUGUAUUGACGAUGAGGCACGAAAGCGUGGGGAUCAAACAGG